Amphimedon queenslandica is the source of this 392-nucleotide long non-coding RNA. RefSeq lists it as uncharacterized. The record is from RefSeq and is a predicted model, not a curated record. Lineage: Eukaryota; Metazoa; Porifera; Demospongiae; Haplosclerida; Niphatidae. The transcript has 3 exons.
CUGCCACAGUGAGAGCUGGUAAUGUACUGGGAGAAUCUGGCAAUACUUCAGUUAAAGGAAAGACAAAUUUUUCAAAAGCUCCUACUGGUGUAGCUAAUUCUCUCUCACUAUUACAACCAGUUAAUAACCUCACUUGGAAUGAGGUCAAUUGCUCUAAACGUAAUGGUCUAAUCAUAGGCUAUACAGUGAUUAUCAGUAACAGUAGUAUCACAUACAACCUCACUAGUACUGAGAGAUAUAUCAUAUUGAAUGAUCUAGUAUUUGGUACUGAGUAUAACAUCAGUGUAGCUGCUGUCAAUUCUGUUGGAAGAGGUCCUUUGAGUGAUCCUAUUGCAGUAGAGAUUGGAAUUGUACCUGGUCCAGUUGGUUCAGUAUCCAGUAUCAUGGACACU